RNAcentral lists this ribosomal RNA (584 nucleotides) under uncultured bacterium. RNAcentral's name for it is "bacterial SSU rRNA". It matches the Rfam family "Bacterial small subunit ribosomal RNA", at positions 338 to 916 of the family's 1533-position model. The record is from RNAcentral.
CCUACGGGAGGCAGCAGUGGGGAAUUUUGGACAAUGGGCGCAAGCCUGAUCCAGCAAUGCCGCGUGAGUGAAGAAGGCCUUCGGGUUGUAAAGCUCUUUUGUCAGGGAAGAAACGGUGGGGGCUAAUAUCCCCUGCUAAUGACGGUACCUGAAGAAUAAGCACCGGCUAACUACGUGCCAGCAGCCGCGGUAAUACGUAGGGUGCAAGCGUUAAUCGGAAUUACUGGGCGUAAAGCGUGCGCAGGCGGUUUUGUAAGUUUGUCGUGAAAUCCCCGGGCUCAACCUGGGAAUGGCGAUGAAGACUGCAAGGCUAGAAUCUGGCAGAGGGGGGUAGAAUUCCACGUGUAGCAGUGAAAUGCGUAGAGAUGUGGAGGAACACCGAUGGCGAAGGCAGCCCCCUGGGUCAAGAUUGACGCUCAUGCACGAAAGCGUGGGGAGCAAACAGGAUUAGAUACCCUGGUAGUCCACGCCCUAAACGAUGUCUACUAGUUGUCGGGUUUUAAUUAACUUGGUAACGCAGCUAACGCGUGAAGUAGACCGCCUGGGGAUACGGUCGCAAGNUUAAAACUCAAAGGAAUUGACGG